GACGAACGCUGGCGGCGUGCUUAACACAUGCAAGUCGAACGGAAAGGCCCUGCUUUUGUGGGGUGCUCGAGUGGCGAACGGGUGAGUAACACGUGAGUAAACCGCCCUUGGCUUUGGGGUAACUUCAGGGAAAUGGGGCUAAUACCGGAUAUAACCUCCUGUGUCGCGUGGUGUGUUGGUAAGAUGCGGCGUUUGGGGAUGGACUCGUGGCUGUUCAGCUUGUUGGUGGGGUGGUGGCUUACCAGGGCAUUGACGGGUAGCCGGCCUGAGAGGGUGACCGGCCACAUUGGGACUGAGAUGCGACCCAGAAGGCUACGGGAGGCAGCAGUGGGGAAUAGUGCAAGAUGGGCGGAGGCCUGAUGCAGCGACGCCGCGUGCGGGAGGACGGCUUUCGGGUUGUAAACAGUUUGCGCCUGUGAAGAAGAGUGAGUGACGGUAACGGGUAAAGAAGCACCGGCUAACUACGUG
RNAcentral lists this ribosomal RNA (468 nucleotides) under uncultured bacterium. RNAcentral's name for it is "partial 16S ribosomal RNA". It matches the Rfam family "Bacterial small subunit ribosomal RNA", at positions 28 to 507 of the family's 1533-position model. The record is from RNAcentral.